CGGGGGGGGCUAGCGUUGUUCGGAAUUACUGGGCGUAAAGGGCUCGUAGGUGGCCAACUAAGUCAUGCGUGAAAUCCCUCGGCUUAACAGGGGAACUGCGUCUGAUACUGGAUGGCUUGAAUCCGGGAGAGGGAUGCGGAAUUCCAGGUGUAGCGGUGAAAUGCGUAGAUAUCUGGAGGAACACCGGUGGCGAAGGCGGCAUCCUGGACCGGCAUUGACACUGAGGAGCGAAAGCCAGGGGAGCAAACGGGAUUAGAUACCCCGGUAGUCCUGGCCCUAAACGAUGAAUGCUUGGUGUGACGGGUAUCGAUCCCUGUCGUGCCGAAGCUAACGCAUUAAGCAUUCCGCCUGGGGAGUACGGUCGCAAGGCUG
This 372-nucleotide ribosomal RNA is filed under the name uncultured organism. Its description in RNAcentral is "bacterial SSU rRNA". It matches the Rfam family "Bacterial small subunit ribosomal RNA", at positions 526 to 896 of the family's 1533-position model. The record is from RNAcentral.